Molecule: ribosomal RNA, 440 nt
Filed under: uncultured bacterium
Lineage: Bacteria
Description: bacterial SSU rRNA
Rfam family: Bacterial small subunit ribosomal RNA
Source: RNAcentral
GCUAAACGCGAAGAACCUUACCUGGCCUUGACAUCUGUCGAAUCCUGCAGAGAUGCGGGAGUGCCGCAAGGAACGACAAGACCGGUGCUGCAUGGCUGUCGUCAGCUCGUGUCGUGAGAUGUUGGGUUAAGUCCCGCAACGAGCGCAACCCUUGUCCCUAGUUGCCAGCACGUAAUGGUGGGAACUCUAGGGAGACUGCCGGUGACAAACCGGAGGAAGGUGGGGAUGACGUCAAGUCCUCAUGGCCCUUACGGCCAGGGCUACACACGUACUACAAUGGUCGGUACAGAGGGUUGCGAAGCCGCGAGGUGGAGCCAAUCCCAGAAAACCGAUCCCAGUCCGGAUCGGAGUCUGCAACUCGACUCCGUGAAGUCGGAAUCGCUAGUAAUCGCGAAUCAGCUAUGUCGCGGUGAAUACGUUCCCGGGUCUUGUACACACCG